This 497-nucleotide ribosomal RNA is filed under the name uncultured bacterium. RNAcentral's name for it is "partial 16S ribosomal RNA". It matches the Rfam family "Bacterial small subunit ribosomal RNA", at positions 28 to 507 of the family's 1533-position model. The record is from RNAcentral.
GACGAACGCUGGCGGCGUGCCUAAUACAUGCAAGUUGAGCGCUGAAGGUUGGUACUUGUACCUACUGGAUGAGCAGCGAACGGGUGAGUAACGCGUGGGGAAUCUGCCUUUGAGCGGGGGACAACAUUUGGAAACGAAUGCUAAUACCGCAUAAAAACUUUAAACACAAGUUUUAAGUUUGAAAGAUGCAAUUGCAUCACUCAAAGAUGAUCCCGCGUUGUAUUAGCUAGUUGGUGAGGUAAAGGCUCACCAAGGCGAUGAUACAUAGCCGACCUGAGAGGGUGAUCGGCCACAUUGGGACUGAGACACGGCCCAAACUCCUACGGGAGGCAGCAGUAGGGAAUCUUCGGCAAUGGACGAAAGUCUGACCGAGCAACGCCGCGUGAAUGAAGAAGGUUUUCGGAUCGUAAAACUCUGUUGGUAGAGAAGAACGUUGGUGAGAGUGGAAAGCUCAUCAAGUGACGGUAACUACCCAGAAAGGGACGGCUAACUACGUG